Molecule: long non-coding RNA, 2477 nt
Filed under: Mus musculus (house mouse)
Lineage: Eukaryota; Metazoa; Chordata; Mammalia; Rodentia; Muridae
Description: predicted gene, 57061
Source: RNAcentral
AGUCUGAAGCAGUGAACCUAAUGAGGAACUAGGGGCAGGAUUAGCGCCCUGAGAUUAAGGCGAAGGAUGGCGGAAAGUCUGGCUAGCUAGGACUCCACCUCAGAAGAGCCCGCAGUCUUUGAGGUUCUCCUUGAUGAUAAUGUCGGUGACAGCGUCAAAGACAAACUUGACGUUCUGUGUGUCGGUAGCGCACGUCAUGUGGGAAUAGAUCUCCUUCACAUCACGUCGCAUGUUAAGCUCCAGGAACUGCACUUUGAUGUAGUUGCCGGCAUCCUCGUAAGUGUUAGGUCCUGCGGCAGAAGAGCAGCAUUCGCUCUGCGCGGGAAGACCUUCUCCCGCGGGAAGGCGCGCGCGGCGGGAAUCGUGGGACUGGGGCACCGCCUGGCGGCCGGGCCUAGGGAUCUCACCAUCGUAGUCGGGGAAGCAGAUGCUGAGGUGUGCCUUUUUUAUCUUCUCGGAGAAAACGUCCUUCUUGUUGAGGAAGAGCACGAUAGACGUUGUGGCGAAGUAGCGAUGAUUGCAGAUGCUGUUGAACAGGUGCAGGCUCUCGUGCAUUCGGUUCUGGGGAGGGGAGCGGCUGUUGGGCAUCAGGCUACGCAAGCAGCUGCCCCUGGGUCUCUGCCCUCCCGACACCAACGGCUCCCAGACAGCUUCUGUUCCGUGAGUCUCACUGGCUCCCACCCCGCCCUCGUCCGCCCCCCUCCCCAGGGCUCCACCUCCCUUCUCAAACACUCAGGUCCCACUUGGCACUCACCACUUCGUCGUCCUCCACCAGCACCAUGUCGUAAGCGCUCAGCGCAGCGAUGAAAAUGAUGCACGUCACACCCUCAAAGCAGUGGAUCCACUUUUUGCGCUCGGAACGCUGCCCGCCCACAUCGAACAUUCUGUCGGGUAGAGCCGGGUCCGGAUUUAGAUCGGUGUGUCUGGUCGGUCACCUGGAUAUGCCCACUGCCCCCCAACCCCACCCCCGUCCUCCUAAGCUAGCUGGAGAGCCCUCAUCUCGCUUGGCAUCUGAAAUGACCAGCCUUUCUCCUGGCAAGGACCUUCACUCAAGACACUGACGUCCCAGUGAGUCCAGCUGUGCUCCUAGCGCAGGGGCCUUACCUGAAGUUGAGGUCCUUGAAGGAGAAUUGAGUCUCGAUAAUACCAGUGGUUUUGACACGAGAACGCAACACGUCCUGCUCAGUGGGCACAUAUCCUGGAGUCACCAGACGCUCUAGGUCUGAGAGAUAGCUGAAGAAGACCACCCGGUCCGAGUGGGUGAGUGGCGUGGGCGAUCACACCCGCGGGGUCCUGCCUACUCACCUCCCCUGCCCUCCUGCAUCUACAUGUGUACUCACUAGCCGGCGGAGUCAUUGAGCUGGUAUUCUGAGGCUCGGUCAAAGCAAGCUUGGAUACCCGAGUCCUUCCACAAGCGCUGAAUGAUGUCUGACAUCUCCUUGGGCAUUGUGCCUUCCUCAAUAGUAUCUGCCAUGUGCAUGAGCUUCCGGGCAUCAUCCUAGUGGUGGGGCAGGGUAGUGGUUGUGAAUCUGAGCCUAGCUAGGUGCCAUGAGCCUAACCAUCAUCAGCCUGCCUCCUGCCUCACCUGCCGGGCUGAAUCUCCAUACUGAAUGUUGAGCGUGGUCAUAGCCCGAACGAUGGCCAGGAUGGACUGCAGAGUGUUGCCGUAGAUGAUGGCAAUGAACUCGAGGCAUUCCUCCAGCGAAUACCCGUCCUGGUGGAUAAUCCUGUAGCCAAGACCAGCAAAGUUAGAGCCACCUGGGCAAGUAGGGAAGGACAGGUUCUGAUGUGCAUGCACCCACCCACCACUAGGGGGCCUUAGGAUGGGCAGGGAACACUCACUUCAUCUGUUUGACAAUAGUGCUCUUCCCGGAUUCACCGGCACCUGAAAGGAAAGCUGUGCUUCAGAGCCGCACUUCUUUUGGAUCAGAGCCCUGGGGUGCCAACUAGACCUCUAGAUAGUCAAAGUAUCAUCAUUGCCCUCAUCUCUAUUCAAAGUAAAGUCUUUAAGACCCCUGAAGAAAGCCGGGCGUGGUGGCGCACGCCUUUAAUCCCAGCACUUGGAAGGCAGAGGCAGGCGAAUUUCUGAGUUCGAGGUUUACAGAGUGAGUUCCAGGACAGCCAGGGCUAUAACAGAGAAACCCUGUCUCGAAGAAAAAAAAAAAAAACCUGAAGAAAAAUGGCUGUAAGUGACAAAAGGGACCUACAUCAGUUAAGGGACCUCAACUGUGUCCAGUGGGAAGGAGGAGGCGUCCCAAAACUCUGUUGUGUAAAGAAAGUCGGGCUGGUGAGAUGGCUCAGUGGGUAAGAGCACCCGACUGCUCUUCCGAAGGUCCAGAGUUCAAAAUCCCAGCAACCACAUGGUGGCUCACAACCAUCUGUAACAAGAUCUGACUCCCUCUUCUGGUGUGUCUGAAGACAGCUACAGUGUAGUUACAUAUAAUAAUAAAUAAAUCUUUAAAAAAAAAAAAAAAAAA